ACGGGGUGCGCUGUUACAGGGCGCUGAGACAAACCCGUGGAACCUGAUCUAGCUCGUACUAGCGAAGGGAUGUCCUUA
Molecule: non-coding RNA, 78 nt
Filed under: uncultured Enteractinococcus sp.
Lineage: Bacteria; Bacillati; Actinomycetota; Actinomycetes; Micrococcales; Micrococcaceae
Description: TPP riboswitch (THI element)
Rfam family: TPP riboswitch aptamer (THI element)
About the family: Vitamin B(1) in its active form thiamin pyrophosphate (TPP) is an essential coenzyme that is synthesised by coupling of pyrimidine and thiazole moieties in bacteria. The previously detected thiamin-regulatory element, thi box was extended, resulting in a new, highly conserved RNA secondary structure, the THI element, which is widely distributed in eubacteria and also occurs in some archaea.
Source: RNAcentral